GUGGGGAAUAUUGGGCAAUGGGGGAAACCCUGACCCAGCAACGCCGCGUGAGGGAAGAAGGCUUUCGGGUUGUAAACUUCUUUUACCAGGGACGAAAAAAAUGACGGUACCUGGAGAAUAAGCCACGGCUAACUACGUGCCAGCAGCCGCGGUAAUACGUAGGUGGCAAGCGUUGUCCGGAUUUACUGGGUGUAAAGGGCGCGUAGGCGGGAGAGCAAGUCAGGAGUGAAAUCUAUGGGCUUAACCCAUAAAUUGCUUUUGAAACUGUUUUUCUUGAGUGAUGGAGAGGCAAGCGGAAUUCCUAGUGUAGCGGUGAAAUGCGUAGAUAUUAGGAGGAACACCAGUGGCGAAGGCGGCUUGCUGGACAUUAACUGACGCUGAUGCGCGAAAGCGUGGGGAGCAAACAGGAUUAGAAACCCCAGUAGUCC
This 428-nucleotide ribosomal RNA is filed under the name uncultured bacterium. RNAcentral describes it as "partial 16S ribosomal RNA". It matches the Rfam family "Bacterial small subunit ribosomal RNA", at positions 354 to 796 of the family's 1533-position model. The record is from RNAcentral.